AGCUUUGCGCAGUGGCAGUAUCGUAGCCAAAGAGGUUUAUCUGAGGAGAGACUAUUGCUAAUUGAAAAUUUCAAAACGUUUUUCUCUCAGUAAAAAAAAAAGAAAAAUAGAAAAUAGUUUGUUUCUUGAAAGUUUAUGUUUGUGUAAAUGUUUGAAUCGUUAAUAAUAAC
This 170-nucleotide small nuclear RNA is filed under the name Catagonus wagneri (Chacoan peccary). Its description in RNAcentral is "U4 spliceosomal RNA (ENSCWAG00000005451.1)". It matches the Rfam family "U4 spliceosomal RNA". Rfam says of the family: U4 small nuclear RNA (U4 snRNA) is a component of the major U2-dependent spliceosome. The record is from Rfam by way of RNAcentral. Lineage: Eukaryota; Metazoa; Chordata; Mammalia; Artiodactyla; Tayassuidae.